CCUACGGGAGGCUGCAGUGAGGAAUAUUGGUCAAUGGACGAGAGUCUGAACCAGCCAAGUAGCGUGAAGGAUGACUGCCCUAUGGGUUGUAAACUUCUUUUAUAUGGGAAUAAAAUGUUCCACGUGUGGGAUUUUGUAUGUACCAUAUGAAUAAGGAUCGGCUAACUCCGUGCCAGCAGCCGCGGUAAUACGGAGGAUCCGAGCGUUAUCCGGAUUUAUUGGGUUUAAAGGGAGCGUAGGUGGAUUGUUAAGUCAGUUGUGAAAGUUUGCGGCUCAACCGUAAAAUUGCAGUUGAAACUGGCAGUCUUGAGUACAGUAGAGGUGGGCGGAAUUCGUAGUGUAGCGGUGAAAUGCUUAGAUAUCACGAAGAACUCCGAUUGCGAAGGCAGUUCACUGGACUGCAACUGACACUGAGGCUCGAAAGUGUGGGUAUCAAACAGGAUUAGAUACCCUUGUAGUC
This 460-nucleotide ribosomal RNA is filed under the name uncultured bacterium. RNAcentral's name for it is "partial 16S ribosomal RNA". It matches the Rfam family "Bacterial small subunit ribosomal RNA", at positions 338 to 795 of the family's 1533-position model. The record is from RNAcentral.